AACAUGAGAAUGACAAAUUGGAUUUUUCCUCCUGAUUUUUAGUUUUUUUCUCCUGAAAAAAUUUCAAAUCCAACUAAAUAUGCUAAAAAUCAGGAGAAAAAAAUCUGAUUUGUUAUUCUCCUAUU
RNAcentral lists this microRNA precursor (125 nucleotides) under Gossypium hirsutum (cotton). Its description in RNAcentral is "MIR7504 microRNA precursor family". It matches the Rfam family "MIR7504 microRNA precursor family". The record is from Rfam by way of RNAcentral. Lineage: Eukaryota; Viridiplantae; Streptophyta; Magnoliopsida; Malvales; Malvaceae.